This 391-nucleotide ribosomal RNA is filed under the name Chrysophyceae sp. Its description in RNAcentral is "partial small subunit ribosomal RNA". It matches the Rfam family "Eukaryotic small subunit ribosomal RNA", at positions 582 to 975 of the family's 1831-position model. Lineage: Eukaryota; Chrysophyceae. The record is from RNAcentral.
AUUCCAGCUCCAAUAGCGUAUACUAAAGUUGUUGCAGUUAAAAAGCUCGUAGUUGAAUUUCUGGUCUCGGACAGCGGUCUGCCUCAAACGAGGUACGCACCACCUGUUCAGGUCCAUCCUCGGAGAAAACAUGCCUGUGAUUCAGUUCAUGGGUAUGGGAUCUUCGUCAUUUACUGUGAGCAAAAUAUAGUGUUCAAAGCAGGCUUAUGCCGUUGAAUACAUUAGCAUGGAAUAAUAAAAUAAGACCUUGGUCUAUUCUGUUGGUUUGUACUCCAAGGUAAUGAUUAAUAGGGAUAGUUGGGGGUGUCUGUAUUGUGUUGUCAGAGGUGAAAUUCUUAGAUUUACACAAGACAAACUACUGCGAAAGCAUUCACCAAGGAUGUUUUCAUCA